RNAcentral lists this non-coding RNA (25 nucleotides) under Rattus norvegicus (Norway rat). The record is from RNAcentral. Lineage: Eukaryota; Metazoa; Chordata; Mammalia; Rodentia; Muridae.
UGACUGCUCCGAGGCCCCGCCCUGU